AUGGCUCAGGAUGAACGCUGGCGGCGUGCCUAACACAUGCAAGUCGAACGGGACUUAUAAGGACAGAGGCUCGGUCAAAGAAUUAUAAGUCCAGUGGCGGACGGGUGAGUAACGCGUGGGGAACCUGCCCUGUAUUGGGGGAUAACAGUGAGAAAUCACUGCUAAUACCGCAUAAGCGCACAUGACCGCAUGGUCAAGUGUGAAAAAACUCCGGUGAUACAGGAUGGACCCGCGUUGGAUUAGCUUGUUGGCGGGGCAACGGCCCACCAAGGCGACGAUCCAUAGCCGGCCUGAGAGGGUGAACGGCCACAUUGGGACUGAGACACGGCCCAGACUCCUACGGGAGGCAGCAGUGGGGAAUAUUGCACAAUGGGGGGAACCCUGAUGCCAGCGACGCCGCGUGAAGGAAGAAGUAUCUCGGUAUGUAAACUUCUAUCAGCAGGGAAGAUAAUGACGGUACCUGACUAAGAAGCCCCGGCUAACUACGUGCCAGCCGCAGC
This 500-nucleotide ribosomal RNA is filed under the name uncultured bacterium. Its description in RNAcentral is "bacterial SSU rRNA". It matches the Rfam family "Bacterial small subunit ribosomal RNA", at positions 19 to 518 of the family's 1533-position model. The record is from RNAcentral.